GGACUACACGGGUAUCUAAUCCCGUUCGCUCCCCUGGCUUUCGCACAUGAGCGUCAGAAACGAGCCAGGAGGCUGCCUUCGCCUUCGGUGUUCUUCCAGAUCUCUACGCAUUUCACCGCUCCACCUGGAAUUCCGCCUCCCUCUCUCGCUCUCAAGUCGUACAGUUUCGCCACAACCUGUGGGAGUUAAGCCCCCACCUGUCAGCGGCAACUUACACGACCGCCUGCGUGCCCUUUACGCCCAAUAAAUCCGGACAACGCUUGCCCCCUACGUAUUACCGCGGCGGCUGGCAC
RNAcentral lists this ribosomal RNA (293 nucleotides) under uncultured bacterium. Its description in RNAcentral is "partial 16S ribosomal RNA". The record is from RNAcentral.